Molecule: long non-coding RNA, 3681 nt
Organism: Manis pentadactyla (Chinese pangolin)
Lineage: Eukaryota; Metazoa; Chordata; Mammalia; Pholidota; Manidae
Exons: 5
Source: RefSeq, a predicted model, not a curated record
AUCUUUGGAGAAAAAUAAGAGCCCACAGGAUUUCACUCAGCUUUUCCUGUCCCUCCUGCCUCAUGAUGGUUAAUUUUAUGUGUCGACUUGACUGGCUAACAGAUGGGCUGUCAGAUAGCUCGUAAAAUGUUAUUUCUGGGUGUGUCCAUGUUUCUGGAAGAGAUUAGCAUUUGCAUCAUUAGACUGAGUAAAGUCACACCAAUGAGGGGGACAUCACUCAUUUAGUUGUGGGCCGGAAUAGAACAAAAAGGUGGAGAAAAGGAUGAAUUUGCCCUCUGCUCGAACUGGGACAUCCAACUCCUUCUGCGCUCAAGAGAUCGGCUCCCUGGUGCUCAGGCCUUUGGACUGGGACUGAAUUACACCACUGGUUUUCCGCGGCCUCCAGCUUAUAGACCACAGAUGGUGGGACUCCUCCGCCUCCAUAAUCAUGAUGGAAGGGGCCACAUGAGAAGGAAUGUGGGCAGCUUCUAAGACCAAACUGCAGUCCCUAGCCACCAGCCUGCCAGCAAACAGGGACCUGCAUCUUACACCUGCAAGGAACUGAAUUCUGUCAACACCUGAAUGAGCUUGAAAGGAAGUUCUCCCCCAACAGCUCCAGGCUUAUCAUCCCAGAGUGGAUCUGAAUUCCUGAUCCUCUAUUUCCAGUAAUUUCAUGGGAGAAGUACAAGUUUGUUUACCCAGCAUGCCUAAUGACCAUUAGUAGGCCAUGCAGUCCUCGCUUUCAUACUGGCAUCUUUUCUCAAGCCUCGCUAAGCUGCCAGGAAAUCAGAGAUGGGCCCAGCUGUGCACAGCCAUACUGACUCAGUCAAGAUGGAACAUGAGAUCCAUUCUGUGUCCAUGAGAAGCAGGUCUAGGAUUUUUCCUGGAAGUAUUAGAAAAGGGAAAGCCUUUUCUCAAUGAGGUUAGAACUGAGUGUGUGUAAGCCUGAAGCUUCCUGUGGCCAACUGGUGACAGAAGAGGGAAAAUCUGAAUGCGAAUCCAGCUAACACAGUAACUCAAUACUGAGCUACAGAGACAGAGACGGAGUCCUAAAGAUGUUGAGCACCUAGAUCCAGCCUUGCCUGAAGUUACAGGAACCAGUACACUUCUGCUCAAGUCCAUUUGACUGGUGUUUCUGGCACUGUCUGAUCUAUACAGAGCUUAGAGCCGUAUGCAGCACACAGCUGGCUCCGGACAAUUAUACACUAAGGAAUGAAAGAGUGAUUUUCGGAAUAUCGGCAUUGAAAUCUAAGGGACAGGAAGUUGGGACACAUUCCCCCAACAGAGUCCUUCUGAACCCUAAAAUUCUAUGGUUGGCUGCUUCCCAAAACACCUCUUUGAGGAUUCACCUUUGAAUGUGUAUCCAGAAUAUUCAGGGAUGGCUGAAGGCAGUUCUCUUCUGUUCAUUCCUCAUGGUGCCCAGGCUAUUGCUGUGUAGGUGGGCCAAACUCAUACACCUCUAUCUCUCAGAAGCCUUAGGCACAGGAACUUGGCCCAUGGAAGUUCCAGCACAUAAGGCCCUUAGCAGGAAGGAAAACUAAUUUAAAAAUGGCCUCAGCUUUCUCAGGAAAUUAUUUUCACUCCGUCUCUAUAAAAAGUACCAGAUUUGACCCCUUGUCUCUUCCUACCUCCUUCUCUGUUAACAUGCCUAUAGAGGUGGUGGGAGAACAGGGGGCCAGACUGAGACGAUGAAAGUCCACUUUUCAUGAAAACGGUCAUCAGAAACCAGUUUGUAAUAGCCAGAGGCCACCAAGAAUAGCUAAGGCUAAGCCAAGUUGUUGAAUCGGACAAUUCUCAAUUGAGUGAGGAAAUGCAUAGCUGUUACUAGUGAUCACAGAAGAAAGCAUCUCUUUGAGAUAAAACUGGAGACAGAAAGAAAAGACCUGGUCAGGCUGCUUUUCUCACUGCAUUAUGAUCAUUUAUCAGGCAAGUUCAGAUAUCUUAGGUAAAUACCUUGAUUGGAUUUUGAUAUUAAAUUGAUAGGGUUGAAAGGUAAAGGCUGAAAUGCAACAAAUAAUCCUAGGCCAGUGAAGUUCCAGCCUGAAUUCUCAGAAGAACUGGUUCAUUCUGCAUUUUUCUUUGCAGCUCCUAGCAGCUAGAACCUGGCUGGCCAGCCCAGAAAACAGGCUGCCAUCCAAACUAGGUGGCAUUGUAAGGUAUAGCCUGGACCCAUCACUGCUAUGUAACAAAGAAGAACAUAUUCAGGUGCAAAAUGCAGACAUGCAAGGACCAAAGCAAUUGCACUUAAUAAAGAGCCCAGGUGAUAAGGACUUGACCUGGAUCUGUGCACAGGGCAAGCACUUAGGUAUAGUAGCACCCAGCCCCACCUCCAAGGGAACUACUCAGAUCUCAUCCAUUGUAACUCUCAGAUUCGUGAGGCCUAGGGCCACCUUUCUCCUUUCACCCUAUCUCCAGGGUCUUGCACAUGGCUUGGCAAGCAUAUUUGUUGAUUGUAUGAAUAAAUGACUGCUUCUCACAAAAAAGAGCAAAUGUUUUAUAACUCCAUGACUAAGAUGGAGUUACAAAACAUUUUAGAGCAUUUCAAUGAAAAAAUGAUUCCUUAUAUCAGCACACUAUUUAGUAGUUUCUGGUGUACAAAGAGGCUUAGCAUUUAAAUAUAAUUUAAUCAUCAUAUUAUAGAUGUCAGGCAGGCUAGAUAUUUUUCAUUUAUUUACCCAAUCAACAUACGUUAAGUUCCUUUAAUAGACAGUGUGUUAGCAGUUGGCAUAUAAAACUGCUUAAGAUAUGAUCUACUCCUAUGCCCCGAGAAAGCUCACAAUGGAGUAGAGGAUACACACACACAUAAAUAAUUAGACAAAUAAUUACAAUAAAAUGUGGUAAGUAUUAAUGGAGGAACUAAGAACACACAUAAUUUGUUGAGUACUUUGCCUGUGGCAGCCAGAAAAGUUUCAUGGAAGUGACGGCAAAUUAAAGGAAGAAAGAGAAUUUGGCAAAUAUCCAAAGGUAGGGGAAGACUUUGCAGAGAAAGAAUAGAGAGCAAAUAGAACAUUGUUUCAUACAAUAGAAUAGAAAAUAUUUGCUGAACAAUGGCAGAAUAUGAGACUAGAAAGAAAGUAAAGGCCAAGCCAUCAAGUGUUUUGAAACAUCAACCAUGAAACUUACCUGAAGGUUAUAGGAGCCAUUUGAAAAUGUUAAUGGAGAAAGAGGAGUAAGGUGUUCAGGUGUGCAUGUUAUUAUCCAGAUUUCUUAGAAGGGAAAGCUGGGUAACAAAAGUUAGAUGACUUUUCCUGAGCCAUAGGGAGAAUAAUAGGAAAGCCAAAUAUUUGCUGGAUUGUAAAUGAAAUGCCAAAUACCCACUUCCUGUUCACUGUUCAAUCAUUGGAGACAACAUUUGUCAUGUGGAAAAGGAGUUCAUUAUAAUCAGACUGGAAAUUCAUGUACCUGAAAACCUCUGGAAGGGAACAUGUAGGGAAUGAACAAGACAGAAUAGCAGAUACAAAACAAUUCUUAUCCGUCUGAAUCUGUUUUACAUUUCAUUCCAGAUGCUGCAAAUUAGCACCAAUACAAUGAAUCUUUGCAAAUUAAAUAGGGUCACAGUGGGAAAGAACCCAUCAGCCACUCUAGUUCCAAAACCCUCCUAGGCAAGCAAUAACCUGAAAUAAACCUUGGAGUCCUGACCCCAGACUAAUAGCCUGCUUCAUACUCUCUGAACAAAACAAUUAAAUAAUCACAUUCCUCAUG